UUCAAUAACCAUCAACUCGCCCCGACCUUCUAACUCGAUCAACAGCUCCAACUCAUCAAAAUCCAUCAAAUCGACCCGCAACCAACCCAUCUUAAUCCUCUUCACGCGUCCUACGCAAUAUUAUACCAUGAAAGAUCCGAGAAGCUUCUAGAAAGAGGGUGAGUUGGCUCAUCUAACAUCUAUAUUCUACAAAUUUUGGGGUAAUGGUAUGGAUUAGGUACAUAUUUGGUGAUUUUUCAUUGGGUUUGGGGGAGAAUUCGUUUCUCCCGAAUUCUAUUGGUCCACCAAACCCAAAUUGGUGAGGAUUGAGGACAAAAACGAAGCUGGAUGGGGGAAUUCAAAAUUAAAAUGGGCUAUUUUUGGAAAUCCCUGGAAUGCCCUCAAUCCCUUCUAUAAAAGGGCUCAUGGAGAGCCAAGAAAGGGUUUCGAUUUUCAUGAAUGAAGGUUGGUAAAGAGAGGGAUGCAAAAAAAGAAAAUUAAGAGAGGCAGAAGAGAAUUUUGAGAGCAACAAUUCCUUUUAGUAGAAAGAUUCUCGUUUCUUUCUUCUUUUGAGAGUUAGCUGAUUAAUUGGAGUGUCUCGAGUUGAUAACACUGAGCUCCAGCGGUGGUCGACAUCCUGACAAUUAGCUCAUUGCCCCGUUUUGCUUUCCCAAAGGAGGUAAACUCUCUCGUCCUUGUAAUUCCAUUGUUUUUUGCUUCAUCCCCCUUUCUCCAUAGAAUUAGUUCAAUUAUUUAGUAAUAAUCAUGAAUGAGGCUGGGUUUUGUCUGCUAUAGAUAGUCGUAAUGGCCUUAGGGGUUCUUUUGUGAUUAUUGUUAUGCCAUCUUGCUGAGGCAGUGCUCACAUUGUAAUUCUCAAUGCGAUUGUGUCUAAUAUACUAUCUUUUAAUUGACAUUGUUGGUUACCUGAGAGUUUGUGGUAUGAAUCUACAUAUAUAUCAUCAAGAUUUUGCCUUUCGUGUUUCGUUUCCCUUUCUGAUUUAGUGUUUCUUGCUACGUUAGGCUAACUAUUAUUAUAAUCAUUUGAUCCAUGAUUUUUGCCUCAUUUUGCUUCCCUCGGUUUUGCAAUCUAUUGUUCAAACCUCAAUAUGGUUGGUUAAUUAUUUACCCAUCGUUUCUUUUUGCAUGCUGCUUAUGGUUUGAUUCACUGUCUCUAUGUUUGAACAUCCUUAUUUUAUUCUAAGUUACGUCUUCUUGAGUGUAACUUCGCUUUGAUUCACCCCAAUUUUCUUGAGUCUUGUCCUUAAUUCGAGGUCACCGGUGGUGCUUUAAUUUCCUAGAUCAGCUGGACUCAGACUACCUCAUAGCUCUGGACUUUUAAGAUUGAUAGAGAUGAUGGGUAUAUAUCUUUGGUAAGUUGACAAUCCUAUGAACUCUUGAUGACCCUGCUUUCGACUUUCGAAAAUUCAUUUCGAGUUGAGGCUGAAAAGAGGGUGAGGAGGGCCUCGCAGAUGUAUUUCUGAAGUGCGAAUCGCGUUCUUGUUGGGUGUUGACUAAAAAAAGAAGAAAAUGUUGUUUUGUUCCUUCUUUGCAAAUAACUUAGCCUAGAUGUUUAUUGUCCUUUUCACUUGCUUGGUUUUAUCGAAUUUGAGUUUUUCUUAGAGAAGCAAUUGUUCCCAAAAAAAGCCAUGUGAGUUUUGUAGACUGAACACUUCAUUUCUCUUUCUAGAUAUAUGAUCGGGAUGAUACACAUGUUUUAACUUAAUUAUAAAUCUAGAUAAGCUGACUUAUGUGGCUUUGCAGUACAUCAAUUACCUGUUGUAGCUUAAAAUUAUGCAGACUUAUGAGUUGAUCGAUUCAAUUAAUUAGGCAUCGAUUGGUUCAUUUCUUCAUCUGAGAUGAUUACCCUUAAGGAUGGGUCAUCUUAUGUACCGAUUAAGCAACUUUUCAGAGGUUCCUUGAAUUUAUUCUACUCAGUAUUUGUUACAUGUAAUUGAACAUAAUUCAUACAUUAGUGAUUGAAGGUUUAAUUAGUUGUCAGGUGUUCCAAACUUUAAGAAUAUCUAAUGUUGAACAGUUGCACCAAAAACAUUGGCGUGCUUCAAAUAAUUAGUCCACAGUGGUUAUAGACGUGUGGGUGUUUUAUUAGCUGAAAUGUAAAGUCCAUCUAUAUCUUGCAUACGGUCUCUUCUUCCUGAAUUGAUCUAGACACGCCUUAUUAUUUUCCAUUGGCUAUUGAUUGUUGAUUAGGAUCGUAUUACGUUGUUUCUUUUAGUUAAUCGUUUGUUAAUUCUUAUUUCUUUCUUUGUUGAUCAUGUCUCCUUACCUUUGUUGAAUAUAUAUUAAUGUAUUUUAUUUCUUCUUUGUUUGUAUGUAAAUCCAUUUCGGAGCCCCAAUGGGUUCUUUCCCUUUGCAUCUAAAUGGGCCAUUGAGGCCCACUAUGUCUAUUGGGUCAACCCCAAAAGGAAAUUCAAAGCCAGUUACAUAGCAUAUGGAUACAAGGAGUCGAAAGAAGAGAAAUGGGUUAAAGUCCCAUUCUUGAAGAGACGCCGAAACCCGAGCCUCAUUUCUGUUUAUUUAUUUGUUGUCAUUAUUUAUUUAUUGUUUUCAUAUUUAUUUAUUUAUUUAGUUGUUCAUUUGGGCCUCGAAGCCAAAUCUGUAGACUAAUACAGGUGGAGAAAACUCGAGCCACGGGCUCGAAAACUAGAUUAGGAUAGGUGAAAUGGGUCAAAGGCCCAAUUAGACUAGGACAAGUCUCAUUGAUUUGGGCCCAAUGGUCUAAAUCCCUUCCUUUCUCCCUUUCCCUUUUUUCUUUAUGCUUGUUUGCCUUACGUGUUUUGCAAACCUAGUUAAAUCCUUAGACAAGUCGCUAAAAAACUGGUUUUGCAUAAACACCAAAAUAUUCCUAAAAUCACUUUCUUUUCAAAAAUCAACUUCUUUCAAGGUUAAUCAAAGACGAUUUUCAAACAGUUCAGAUAACAACAAGUUAGCGGACGUUUUAGGUGCCUAACACUUUCCUAAAACGUUAAUAGGAACCUCUUACUUAGAAUCUCUAACUUAAACGAUUUUCCUAUUUUGAAUUGUCUAAGUAUUUUAUAAAGUUUUCUUAAUUCCUCUUCAAAAUUAAGUGGCGACUCUUUCAAAAGUCAAAAUUUCUUCGUAAAACAGAAAUGGCGACUCUGCUGGGGAUUUUUUAACUAGGUUCUAAUUAACUGUUUAUGUGUUUAUGUGUUUUGAUUCUGUAAAGUUCAAUUAUUGCAUCUCAUGACAUAUUUUUACAUUAUUUAAACUGUCUUGGGGUUUCGUGGAUGUCCCGGCCCCUAUUGAUCAAUUCUAAUAAUGUGUUAGAAAUGUGAAUGGCUUAUUAGCACGUGAGUCGUCUGAUGGCUGUUCGUAUUUUCAAACUAAAGUUAUCUACUUGAGAACCAGUAUUCAAACCCACUCUAGACACCCAGGAUAGAAUGAAACCAAAAUCCUAUUUUAGGCAUGAACCUAGGACGACCCAAUACCCGAGCAGGGUAUUGGGCCCAUUAGAAAACUUGCCUUACGUCUAUUGACCCCGAGACAAUUAUAGACGAACGAUUUUUAUAUGUUGAAGAAAAUAUAUGUCUGUCUAAUUCAAUCCAUUAUCCUUUAGGGGUCGGGAAAAAUCUUGAUUUGCUUACUUUCGUAAGAAGAAUUAAAGCAAGUUGAGCAAGAAAUUGAUUGAUUUGGGAGGUUACAUUUAAGGCACAGUUUGAACGUCAACGUAUGUAACCAAUAUAAUAAAUGAACGUAGCUAAGAAGGCGAAGGCUGAUAAAAAAAGAACCCAGGAGUUAGUAUUUUCUAUCCCCUGUGUGGGAACGUGUCUUCUUUCAUGUUAUUUUCUUUUCUCUAAAGAUUGUAUUCCUCUUUUGUUAUCUUUUGUAGGUAUUUAUGCCCUUUUAGUGUCUAUAAAAGUUGGGGGAUAAUGGAUUGACCUUAAAUAAGAAUAUAUUUUUCUUCGAAAAUCAUUAGGCACAAACCCUUGGCUCAAAAGGGUCACCCCACUUUGGAUACGCAUUAUUAUAAUGUUUUUAUAACUGUCUUAUGUGUUUAUGUGCGUUUGUUUGGAUCAAAGGCAAGUUUAUCCUCUAGGCUCCUAUGGAUGAAUUUGGCUAUGACACAAACAACUCUAUAUGUCUAUUUCUUUCAAGUAUUUUGCAUUGCAUAUCACAUGUGGAAACUAACACAUUUGCCUUUGAGUUGUUUUACUUUACAGAUAAUAGAAAAACUACUUCGUGUUGAAAUAAGCUGGCAGAACAUCCUUACUUCACGCUGUCAAAAGCGCACAAAAUCCCAUCAUCUGACCAUCAUUCAAUAAUGACUGGAAAUGAUGAAGAAAAUACAUUGACUAUCAAGGACAAUGUAAUAACAGAACAGAGUGAGAUGAUUGCGGAACUCACAAGAAAGCUAGAGAUGCUUCAGGAGGAAAUAAAUCGUACUCGAGAUUUGGUUAACUUGGCCAUCACUAUCAAUGCUCCCUCUUCAGGAGGACACGGGACUCCGCUCCAAAUCCCUUCCCUCAGUAUGCCUAUUCUUUGGGAUCAGCCAAAUAAUAUAUCAUUCGUCUCUGUCCCUCUACUUGUCCAAAAUACCAAUCGUGAAAAUAACCCAGAUGCUUACCAUCCACAAAAUCCAUCCCUUGCCCCAUAAAACUCUUCUCCGAAUCUAAAAAAUUCAAUCCCAAAUCCCCAGAACCCAUUGUUAAAUCCACAAAAUCUAUCCCUAAAUCCAUCAAAUCUACCUCUGAAUCCACCAAAUUCGUUUCCAAAUCUCCAAAAUCCUUCUCAAAUUCCACCAAACUACUCUCAAAUUCCACAGAGUUUUUCCAAUUUUCAAAACGCCCUCCCAACCUACCAACCAACUUCCUUUCAUCCACGAAAUCAAGCCUUCUUCUAUAUCCUCCUCAAUUCAUCAUAUCUCCUGACAUUUAUAAUGUCCUUCCUAAUCUUGAGAUAGACCAUUAUGACGAGAAAGAGAAGGAGUGGAGGACCAAGCAUAAAAAGAAGUUUCUAUCCAUGAAUGAAGAGAUCACGAGAAUCAAGGAAUCUCACUGGGCAGGUGAUAAUAAUGCUUUGGGGUACGAUGAUUUGUGUGUGCACCCCGGAGUAGAUCUACCAGAAGGUUAUAAGAUCCCUAAAUUUGAAGUGUUUAACGGUACCGGAAAUCUAAUGGCCCAUCUAAGAAGGUAUUAUGAUCAGAUGGUUGGGAUAGGAAGAAAUGAGGCAUUAUUGGUGCGCUUAUUCAGUCGAAGCUUAAACGGCGAAGCCUUAGAUUGGUUCAUGUCUGAAGAACUGAAAAGAUGGUCUAAUUGGAAGGCGUUGGCUAAAAGUUUUCUCGUUAAAUUUACAUUUAACAUUGAGAUAGUCCCUGAUCAAUACUCACUAGAUCGUAUUAAGCAGAAGAAUGAUGAGAGCUUUCGAGACUACGCCUUCUAUUUGAGGAAAGAGGCUGCUAAAGUACAAUUUCCUAUGUUUGAGGAGGAGAUGGUAUCCAUAUUCUCCCAUGCUCAGGAGGGAGAAUUUUAUACUAGGAUGGUAUCCACUGUCAAGGAUACAUUCGCAGAUUUGGUAAAAAUUGGGGAAUCUUUAGAAAAAGGCAUUCAAACAGGAAAGAUUGUCAAAACUCCAAAAUAUCAUCUGGGACUUCCAUGUUCCCAAAGAAGAAAAGGAAAGACGUAGGUCAGGUCUGUACUAAUUCUUUCAAUAAAUUGAAGAGGAAAUUCAAGCCUAGGAAUAUUCUUUCCUCACCACCGUUACCAAUUCUUCAGCCUAUAUUCUAUGCCCAACCCCAAUAUCAAGCUCCAUGUCCCUAGUGUCAAGUUCUGUAGCCAAAUUAUCAGUCUCAUGUUCAAGCUACUAUUCCAAACAAUCAAAUAAACUUUCAAGUGCCUCCAAACUAUCAUCAAGUACCUCCUCCUGCUAAUCAAAAUCAGUGUAACCCCCCACAUAUAAACCUUGAAAAGAAGCCCCUUAGAAAAUUUACUUCAUUGGCUGAAAGUCGUACCCAGCUCUUCGGAAGAUUGAUGAAGGCUGGUUAUUUACAGCCUAUUCCACCAAAGCCUACCAAUCUUAAUUCUCGAUUCUAUCAUGCCGAUCAAAAUUGUGCCUAUCAUUUAGGAGUAGCGGGGCACAUUACCGAGGAUUGUAUUAACUUGAAACAUAAGAUCCAAGAUUUGAUCGAUCAGAAGGUCAUCACGCUUCAGUCGUCGACACCAAAUAUUAACAGUAAUCCAUUGCCUAAUCACGGGGGACCUACAGUUAAUAUGAUUGAAAUAGAGGGUGAAUGGGCAUCUAGCAAGGCCAUCACUAAGGUAAAUUCAGAAGGACUCAAAAGAACAGAAGAAGUGGAGAAGAUAGAGAAAGUUGUGGCCGCCUUAAGUAGGGAUUUAGAAGGAAUUAUUGAGCCUGUUAUGGUCCCCGAAAAAGCAUUUAAGCAGGGAAUAGAGUACCAAUUAAGAAAGGAAGAAGAGACCAAAGAUUAUUCAAAGGAGAGUCUGUUUAGGCCCUUGCCGCUCUUGUACCAGUCAUUUCCCAUACAUGAGAUGUCAAACGGUGAUGGUCUUAGGGAUGGGAUAGGAGAUCUGUUCGAAGGAUGAUAUGCUCUACCAGAUGAUUUCCCAAAGUCCAGUGGGGUAAGCCUUACAAAAAUGGACCUCCAUUCCACUCAUAACCCGUCACCCAUCAUGGUAGAUGAAAGGGCAAUUACUAAUAGUUUUUAAAACCAGUGAUGAUCCAGAGGAGGCCCCGUGAUCCACCUUUUUAUGUCUCAAAUUUUUGUUUCUUAUUUUACAACUUUCAAAAAGGCAUGGGCCCACAUUUGUAUGGGUCAUGAGCCAUAGUUUUUAUUUACUUUCCAAAAGGUCUCCCUUAUUUAAGAAGUUAUUUUUUAAAACAUGAUUAUCUAGCAUGUUUUAUUUUGGUAGCAAUAAUUUAAAAAUCUACCAAUGUCAUGUCAUGUCAAGGGUUAGACGAACAAAGCGAAGGAAAUAAUGAUGAACAGAAAAGGUGACAAGGAGCAGUUAGUAGUAGAUAUAGAGGAAUGUGAAAAUCAAAAGAAGCCCAACCUGGAGGAGCCCUAAUCCUACCUGAGAUAGAUGGUCAAGAGUGGACCAAACCAAUCAAUUCUGAUGCGGUAAAGAGAUAUUAUGCUUGAAAGAUAUUAUAGUUUUUGUGUCUUGGAUUAUUUGUAAUCACCUUUAUAAUAGUAUCAAUUUUAUGAUGCGUAAUUUCCUAGAACCCCUUCCCUUUAUGUACGAACUACGUUUGUCCUGAAUUUCCAAAAAAGGGUACAUAGGCGGCCUAUGUCGGCUUCAGUCAACCCCUUAGGAAAAUUUAUCAUUUUCUUUUAUUUACAAACUACCUUUGACCUGAAUUCCCAAAAAAAGAGAUACAUAGGCGGCCUAUGUCGGCUUCGGUCAACCCGUUAGAUUUUUCUAUAUAUCCUUAGCGUAGUCUUGAACUAUGGUUGACUUGAUUCCUGCUUCAACGGGAUACGUAGGCGCCCGAAUGGCUCUGUCAUUAACCCCAGGAAAUGGAAAUUGGGUUAGAAUUUUUGAGAAGAAAUCUCAAAAAUUUGCAAGAGAAGAUCAACAUUCAACAAAGAGAACGAAGACCAAUAAAGAAUUCAGAUCCUCUCGAGUUGGCAUCGUAUCAAACAACUUUAAAAUGGGGCAAAAAUUUUGAGGGAGGCCUAAAAAUUUCCACCAAAUACUGGAAUAUAUUUCAAAUUCCCCAGCACUAGAGGUCGAAGUCGAGAUUUGAGAAUCACCACCUAUUAUAAAGUCUAGGUAAACUAAAUCUUCGGCUAUGACGAAACCAUUUGUAGAACCCUCCAACAAUGAUGAUGAGUUCUGGAACUCCUCCAUCGGAUACAGUCAAAACUAAGAGGAAUAUGUUCGUUGAGCUAGUACAUGACAAACUGACAGAGAUUUUUGAAAGCUUUUAUAGAAACUUUCAAAACUAUUUGCUAAAAAUAAGACUACUUUUGAAAAAUCUUUACAAAAUCUUUUACUUAGUGAUUGCCUAGACGUCUAUAGGAGCAGGGAGCCAGGGUGAAGGUACCAACAUGGUAGAGUACCCAAAAGAUGGCGUGGAGCAAAAGGAGAAUCGAAGAAGGUCAACACGGAGUAGUUUCACUCAAACUAAUUAUUUUUCUGUAGAUGCAGGGACCAAUACACAAAAAUAAGAGUCUCUUUAAAAAAUCUCCGAGAAAAUUGGGAGACACACCAGAGCACUAAUGCUCAAGAAUAGUAUUUUUAGGUAGCCCUAAAAAUGAGUUUAAUACCCAUUUGUUAAGGACCUGUUGAAUUGUCCAUCUCACUUUUUGAGAUCAUGGAGGACAAACAAAACUGUCUUGUCUUCUUUACAAAUAUUGUAUUUAGAGUUUUUCUAAAAAAUAGUCGCUAGCAAAAGCGACUUUGUAUCUACUAAUCGUCUACCUUGAGUACAGGUACAUGUAAAAAGCAAGACACAGACAAACAAACUCAGGUGAAACUAUUUUCAAAUUGUCAAGAGGGUCAUUCAUAUCAUCGCCGAGAGGGACAAUUCGUAUCAUUACCGAGAGGGCCAUUUCAUAUCAUUGCCAAGAGGGCCACUUCAUAGCAUUGCCGAGAGGGCCAUUUCAUUACUAAGAGGGUCAUUCAUAUUAUUUGCCGAGAGGGCUAUUUUAUAUCUGUUGACACGUAAGACAUAAAUACUGGCAUCGAAGAUAUCAUCAGUAUUUUAUAUCUGUUGACACGCAAAGACAUAAAUGCUGGCAUCGAGGAUAUCAUCGGUAUUUUAUAUUUGUUGACACACAAAGACAUAAAUGCUGGCGCCGAGGAUAUCAUUCCAUUUUAUAUCUGUUGACGCGCAAGACAUAAACGCUGGCGUCGAGGAUAUCAUCAGCAUUUCAUAUCUGUUGACACGCGAGACAUAAACUAUGGUGUCGAGGUUAUUUCAUCAUUUUAUGCAUCAACAUCUGAAUGCAUCAAGAGCACACGAUUUUAAGGGACACUUUUAAGUCGCUAUCUAAGAAUGGAUAAUAUAUAAGAUUUCCUAGAAAUUGACAAUUUAAGGGUCAUCUAAAAGUCAUAUUAUUUGAAAUAGGAUAGUGUGAAAGAUCACCUAUGAUUUGAUAGCCUAUAGGUCAUCCGUAAGCCACAACAACAUCCUAACCGGAUAGUGUGCAAGAUCGCCCAAAAAUCGAUAGUCUGGAGGUUAUCCAUAAGUCGCAACUAAAUCCUUACUAGAGAAUAUGCGAGAUUAUCAAAUUGAUAUGUCCAAGGGUUCUCUAUAAGCCGCAUCAUAUCCAAGAUCGAUUAUGUGCAGGAUUACCCAAGGACUAGCAAUUUGAGCGAUAUCUAUAAGUCAUAUUGUAUCCAAGGUUAGAUGAUGUGCAGGAACACCUGAAAGCUAGCGAUUGCAGGCAUAUCUAUAAGCCAUCUCUUAUCCAAGGUUGAAUAAUGUGUGGGAUUACCUAGAGGCUAGCAAUUUAAAGGAUAUCUGUAAGUCACCUCGUAUCCAACAUCAAAUAAUGUGCAAAAUUAUUCAAAGAUUAACAAUUUAAGGGAAAUUUAUAAGUAGAUCAUCGGCUAUAACCGGAGAGGUUAUCAUUCCACAUACAACAAGUGAUAUAGGCAACUAAAAGGGUUGCCACACCAGCACAAGAUUACACGAUUGUAGGGACCGUUCCGCAUAAAGUAUCGUUGGUGUCCAAAAGGGCCACCCCACUUUGAAGACAUAUUCGCUCGACAAAUGAGCUAAUUAUGCAACAACCAAUAAGGUUGGUGUGUCUGUUAUUGCGAGUUAUUUCCUACCGAAUAGGUACAAGAAAGGAUGACUUUGCUUUUAGACAACAGCUUACGCGAAGAUAUGGUAAAAAACUAUACACCUCUUUUGUGAAUUGGGCUUAUUACUAAUGAUUUUUUGUUUGAGAUAUUGUCGAGAGGAUCCGAGCGGACGAAAAUCUCAAAUCAAAACCACAGGUGCGGACGACUCCAAAAAGGACGCAGCACAACAUGGAACUCUUUCUUAGCAGCAAAAUGAGACAUAGUCUAAAGAGGGACGUCAAACUCUUUGGACGCGAGUUAAGGAUGAUCACCACCACCAUCCAACCACACCUCUGUUAGAAGGCAUGUGGGUAUUUCAGGAUAUUCUAGUUUCAGCUUCACCUUCGAGAUAUUUCUAAACUCUUGUCGAGGGUAGCAUUCUCCUUCUUUCAAAUUCAGGUGGCAACACACUUAGAGUUUUGGAAAUUAAGACCAGAUAAAUUCUUACCUAUGGAUGUGAAGAUCUCCAUGUUCAUGGUUAAGAGUUUACAAGCCUCUUUUCCAUAACUCGAUCAACUUGUCACUCAUCUUGAGCCAAAGAUCGUCUGAAAUAAAAGACUAUUUUUUUUUCAAUUGAGUUGAACUACAACCAGUCUGAUUCCCUAAGUCUUAGGGAUAUGUAGGCUGGGAUCUAUGCAAAAAACUCUACUGCAUUCCAACCUCCCACCAAAUCCCUUUAUUCCCUAGCUUCUCGGUUUAACUAAAAACUCUGAAACCGUGAUACUUUCAUGCUUUAAAUCAAGCUUUAUGAACUACAAGUGGCCUGAAUUCCUACGUAACCUAAGAUAUGUAGGAAACCUAAUACCGAGGUUCGUCCAUAACUCCAUGAAACUCAUGCGAAAAACAAACUCUUUCAGAUUCGAAUUUGUGGUCGGACAAAAAUUAGGAGUGUCAACCUCUCUUUGCCCAGGGUUACUUGCAUCCACCCUACCCAAAGGGAGGGGGAAGUUGUUGACACCUACUUUUUGCCCUCCUCAACUACGUUAAAUCUCGAGUUUCUACGAUUUUCAAAUAAAAUCACAACAAUUAUUUUUUCCAAAUAAAUGCAUUUUAAAUAUGUAUUUAGGCUAAAUUUGUUAUUUAAGUGAUAAUUAUAUAUUUUCGUAUUUACAUAUCCGAGAUUAUAUAAAUGAUAUCAUUUAAAUGAACAUUCUCAUCAAUGUCUAAUUUUAAUUAAGGAUAAUCUUUGAAAAUAAAUGUAAUAAUUAAUAUCUUGAUUCAAAUAUAAUGUAAUCUCAAAAAUAAUUUAUUUGGAUAAAUAUGUAUUUGAUUUUAUUAAAUCGAGAAGCUCGGGAUUAAAUUAGGUAUUGAUUCAAAUUGGAUUUCAAUUUAAUUUUGGCCAUAAUUGAAAUUAAAUCGACCACAAUUGCAAUGCAAUUGGCCAAUUAAUCUUCAAUUUGAUCAAAAAAUAAAAUGAAAUUGGCUAAUCCCUAAUCUAUCUGAGGCUAUUUAUUAAAUAACCCCAAAAGUUACCCAACUACCAAAUUCCUUCCUAAUCUGUCCAAUUUUGGCCCAAAUAUCUUUCUUGAUCAAUAUCCCAUUUGUUCCCAACUUCAACAGCCCAUUUCAACAACACAAGCCCAAAUCCCAUCCAUCCCACUCCCUUUAACCCAUUCACCAGCCCAACAACAAAUUAAUAACUACCCAGGCCCACUCCAAUGUUAACCCAAUUGCAGACCCAACCCAUUUCAGUUGUUGUCUUCAUCAAAACAGCCUUCACCCAAUCUCAACACCGACCAGCUUCAAUAACCAUUAACCCGCCCCGACCUUCUAACUUGAUCAAUAGCUCUAACUCAUCAAAAUCUAUCAAAUCAACCUACAACCAACCUAUCUUAAUCCUCUUCACGCAUCCCACGUGAUGUUGUACCAUGGAAGAUCGGAGAAGCUUCUAGAAAGAGGGUGAGUUAGCUCAUCUAACAUCCAUAUUUAACAAAUUUUGGGGUAAUGGUAUGGAUUAGGUACAUAUUUAGCGAUUUUUCAUUGGGUCUGGGGGAGAAUUUAUUUAUCACCAAUUCUAUUGGUCCACCAAACUCAAAUUGGUGCGGAUUGAGGACAAAAAUAGAGCUGGAGGGGGGAAUUCAAAAUUAAAAUGGGCUAUUUUUGGAAAUCCCUGGAAUGCCCUUAAUCCCUUCUAUAAAAGGGCUCACGGAGAGCCGAGAAAAGGGUUUGAUUUUCGUGAAUGAAGGUUGGUAAAGAGAGGGAUUCGAAAAAAGAAAAUUAAGAGAGGCAGAAGAGAAUUUUGAGAGGAAAAAUUCCUUUUAGUAGAAAAAUUCUCGUUUCUUUCUUCUUUUGAGAGUUAGAUGAUUAAUUGGAGGGUCUCGAGUUGAUAACAUUGAGCUUCGACGGUGGUCGACAUCCUGACAAUUAGCUCGUUUCCUCGUUUUGCUGCCCCGAAGGAGGUAAACUCUCUCGUCCUUGUAAUUCCAUUGUUUUUUACUUCAUCCCCCUUUCUCCAUAGAAUUAGUUCAAUUAUUCAGUAAUAAUCAUGAAUGAGGCUGGAUUUUGUCUGUUGUAGAUGGUCGUAAUGGCCUUAGGGGUUCUUUUGUGAUUAUUGUUAUGCCAUCUUGCUGAGGCAGUGCUCAUGUUUUAAUUCUCAAUGUAAUUAUGUCGAAUAUACUGUCUUUUAAUUGACGUUGUUGGUUACCUGAGAGUUUGUGGUAUGAAUCUACAUAUAUAUCAUCAAGAUUCUGCCUUUCGUGUCCCGUUUCCCUUUCUGAUUUAGUGUUUCUUGCUACGUUAGGCUAACUAUUGUUAUAAUCAUUUGAUCCAUGAUUUUUGCCUCACUUUACUUCCCUCGAUUUUGUAAUAUAUUGUUCAAACCUCAAUAUGGUUGGUUAAUUAUUUACCCAUUGUUUCAUUUUACAUGCUACUUAUGGUUUGAUUCACUGUCUCUAUGUUUAAGUAUCCUUAUUUUAGUCUAAGUUACGUCUUCUUGAGUGUACCUUCGCUUUGAUUCACCCCAGUUUUCUUGAGUCUUGUCCUUAAUUCGAGGUCACCGGUGGGGCUUUAGUUCCCUGGAUCAACUGGACUCAGACUACCUCAUAGCUCUUGACUUUUGAGAUUAAUAGAGAUGAUGGGUAUACGUCUUUAGUAAGUUGACAGUCCUAUGAACUCUCGAUGACCCUGCUUUCGACUUUUAAAAAUUCAUUUCUAGUUGAGGCCGGAAAGAGGGUGAGGAGGGCCUCACAGAUGUAUUUCUGAAGUGUGAAUCGCGUUCUUAUUGGGUGUUGACUGAAAAAAGAAGAAAAUGUUGUUUUGUUCCUUCUUUGCAAAUAACUUCGCCUAGAUGUUUAUUGUCCUUUUCACUUUCUUGGUUUUAUCGAAUAUGGUUUUUUUUAGAGAACCAUUGCUCCUAAAAAAAAUGAUGCGAGUUUUGUAGUCUGAACAGUUCAUUUCUCCUUCCAGAUAUAUGAUCGGGAUGAUAUGCAUAUUUUAACUUAAUUAUAAAUCUGGAUAAGUUGACUUAUGUGGAUUUGUAGUACAUCAAUUACCUGUUGUAGCUUAAAAUUGUGCAGACUUAUGAGUUGAUCGAUUCAAUUAAUUAGGCAUCGAUUGGUUCAUUUCUUCAUCUGAAAUAAUUACCCUUAAGGAUGGGUCAUCUUAUGUAUCGAUUAAGCAACUUUUAAGAGGUUUCUUGAAUUUAUUCUACUGAGUAUUUGUUACAUGUAAUUGAACAUACUCCAGACAUUAGUGAUUGAAGGUUUAAUUAGUUGUCAGGUGUUCCAAACUUUACGAAUCUCUGAUGUUGAACAGUUGCACCAAAAACAUUGGCAUGCUUCAAAUAAUUAGUCCAAAGUGGUUACAGACAUGUGGGUGUUUUAUUAGCUGAAAUGUAAAGUCCAUCUUUAUCUUGCAUAUGGACUCUUCUUCCUGAAUUGAUCUAGACACGCCUCAUUAUUUUCCAUUGGCUAUUGAUUGCUGAUUAGGAUCGUAUUACGUUGUUUCUUUUAGUUAAUCGUGUGUUAAUUCUUAUUUCAUUCUUUGUUGAUCAUGUCUUAAUUACCGUUGUCUUUCCUCCUCGAAUUAACCAUGUAUAAACUAUUCUAGUUUCCUAUUUUGGUGAGCAUGCAUUGAUUUCCUUUACGUUUCCUUUCUCCUUACCUUUAUUGAAUAUAUAUUAAUGUAUUUUAUUUCUUCUUUCUUUGCAUUUAAAUCCAUUUCGAAGCCCCAAUGGGUUCUUUCCCUUUGCAUCUAAAUGGGCCAUUGAGGCCCACUAUGUCUAUCGAGUCAACCCCAAAAGAAAAUUCAAAGACGGUUACAUAGCAUAUGGAUACAAGGAGUCAAAAGAAGAGAAAUGGGUUAAAGUCCCAUUCUUGAAGAGACGACAAAACCCGAGCCUCAUUUCUGUUUAUUUAUUUGUUGUCAUUAUUUAUUUAUUGUUUUCAUAUUUAUUUAUUUAUUUAGUUAUUCAUUUGGGCCUCGAAGCCAAAUCUGUAAACUAAUACAGGUGGAGCAAUUUCGAGCCACGGGCUCGAAAACUAGAUUAGGACAGGUGAAAUGGGUCAAAGGCCCAAUUACUAGGACAGGUCUUAUCGAUUUGGGCACAAUGGUCUAAAUCCCUUCCUUUCUCCCUUUCCCUUUUUUCUUUAUGCUUGUUUGCCUUACGUGUUUUGUGAACCUAGUUAAAUCCUUAGACAAGUCGCUAAAAAACUGGUUUUGCAUAAACACCAAAAUAUUCCUAAAAUCGCUUUCUUUUCUAAAAUGAACUUCUUUCAAGGUUAAUCAAAGAUGAUUUUCAAACAGUUCGGAUAAGCGCAAGUUAGCAGACGUUUUAGGUGCCUAACACCUUCCUAAAACGUUAAUAGGAACCUCUUACUUAGAAUCUCUAACUUAAACGAUUUUCCUAUUUU
RNAcentral lists this long non-coding RNA (14620 nucleotides) under Capsicum annuum. Its description in RNAcentral is "long non-coding RNA (CANN_LNC014675)". The record is from RNAcentral. Lineage: Eukaryota; Viridiplantae; Streptophyta; Magnoliopsida; Solanales; Solanaceae.